CCAAUUUUGCCAGACGCGCAUCGGCAAAACCUUUACGCUUGAGCUGACGCAGGAAGUCGGCGUUGAGGCCAGUAAUCCCGACUUCAGCCACUUUCUCUUCCAGACGCACCAGCUCUUCAAUUUGCACCAGGAACCAGCGGUCGAUGUUGGUCAGGUUAAAGACGCCAUCGACGGAGAGGCCUGCGCGGAAAGCAUCGGCGAUGUACCAGAUACGAUCUGCGCCCGCGUCUUUCAGCUCGCGGCGGAUUUUGGUCAGCGCUUCCGGGUCGUCGAGGCUCACUUUCGGGUCAAAACCGGUGGCGCCGACUUCCAGGCCGCGCAGCGCUUUUUGCAGGGAUUCCUGCUGCGUGCGGCCAAUCGCCAUCACUUCUCCGACCGAUUUCAUCUGGGUGGUCAGACGGUCGUUGGCACCGGCGAAUUUCUCAAAGUUAAAGCGCGGAAUUUUAGUAACCACAUAGUCGAUGGACGGCUCGAAGGAGGCCGGAGUGCGCCCGCCGGUGAUGUCGUUCAUCAGUUCGUCAAGGGUGUAACCUACCGCCAGUUUGGCGGCCACUUUGGCAAUCGGGAAACCGGUGGCUUUCGACGCCAGCGCCGAGGAGCGGGAUACGCGCGGGUUCAUUUCGAUAACGAUCAGACGGCCGUUUUUCGGGUUCACUGCGAACUGGACGUUAGAACCGCCGGUUUCGACGCCGAUUUCACGCAGUACCGCCAUCGAGGCGUUACGCAUGAUUUGGUAUUCUUUGUCGGUCAGCGUCUGUGCCGGGGCCACGGUGAUGGAGUCACCGGUGUGGAUACCCAUCGCAUCGAAGUUUUCGAUAGAGCAGACGAUGAUGCAGUUGUCGUUUUUAUCACGCACCACUUCCAUCUCGUACUCUUUCCAGCCGAUCAGCGAUUCAUCAAUCAGCAGCUCGUUGGUUGGCGAGAGGUCCAGACCGCGUUCGCAGAUUUCUUCGAACUCUUCACGGUUGUAAGCGAUACCGCCGCCGGUGCCGCCCAUGGUAAAGCUAGGCCGGAUGAUGCACGGGAAGCCCACGUCAGCGGCAACCGCCAGCGCUUCUUCCAUAGUGUGCGCGAUACCGGAACGCGCGGUGUCGAGACCAAUUUUCUUCAUCGCGAUAUCGAAGCGACGACGGUCUUCGGCUUUAUCAAUGGCGUCGGCGGUCGCACCAAUCAUGGUGACGCCGAACUCUUCCAGCACGCCCUGCCGCUCCAGCUCCAGCGCGCAGUUCAGCGCGGUCUGGCCGCCCAUGGUCGGCAGCACCGCAUCCGGACGCUCUUUUUCAAUGAUUUUGCGCACCACUUCCCAGUGAAUCGGCUCGAUGUAGGUGGCAUCGGCCAUUUCCGGGUCGGUCAUGAUGGUGGCCGGGUUGGAGUUCACCAGAAUGACGCGAUAGCCCUCUUCGCGCAGGGCUUUACACGCCUGAGCGCCGGAGUAGUCAAACUCACACGCCUGACCGAUAACAAUCGGGCCCGCGCCCAGAAUCAGGAUGCUUUUUAUAUCUGUACGUUUUGGCAUGGCUCUUAUUACUCCUGAUUAUUUCGCGGACUGACGGUAUUGCUCAAUAAGCUCGAUAAAGUGGUCGAACAGCGGCGCCGCAUCGUGCGGGCCGGGGCUCGCCUCCGGGUGGCCCUGGAAGCUGAACGCCGGUUUGUCGGUACGGUGAAUCCCUUGCAGGGUGCCGUCGAACAGCGACUUGUGGGUCACGCGCAGGUUGGCGGGCAGCGAGUCUUCAUCCACCGCAAAGCCGUGGUUCUGCGCGGUGAUCAUUACCACGUUUCUGUCCAUAUCUUUUACCGGAUGGUUGCCGCCGUGAUGGCCGAACUUCAUCUUAACGGUCUUCGCACCGCUCGCCAGCGCCAGUAGCUGAUGACCGAGGCAGAUGCCAAAUAGCGGAAUGUCGGUUUCGAGGAAUUUCUGGAUAGCAGUAAUCGCGUAGUCGCACGGAGCCGGGUCGCCAGGGCCGUUUGACAGGAAGAUGCCGUCCGGAUUCAUUUUCAGCACCUCUUCAGCAGAGGUUUGCGCUGGCACCACCGUCAGGCGGCAGCCGCGAUCCACCAGCAUACGCAGGAUGUUGCGCUUCGCGCCGAAAUCAUAGGCCACCACAUGGAACGGCAGGUCAUCCUCAGAUUUCGCUUCCGGUAAACCGUCUUUCAGCGUCCAGCUACCCUGCGUCCAGCGGUAAGUUUCCGCCGUGGUCACUUCUUUCGCCAGAUCCAUACCGUUAAGUCCAGGAAAUGCUUUCGCUUUUUCCAGCGCCAGCUUCGCAUCCGGGCUAUCGCCUGCAAUGAUGCAGCCGUUCUGUGCGCCUUUCUCACGCAGCAGUCGGGUCAGCUUGCGGGUAUCGAUAUCAGCAAUCGCCACAAUGUUAUGCCGUUUGAGGUAAGAAGAGAGGUCUUCGGUGUUACGGAAGUUGCUGGCAAUCAACGGCAGAUCGCGAAUCACUAAACCUUGCGCAUGAACCUGAGAGGAUUCUUCAUCGGCUUUAUUGGUGCCGACAUUACCAAUAUGGGGAUAAGUAAGAGUGACGAUUUGGCGGGAAUAGGAAGGAUCAGUGAGGAUUUCUUGAUAACCGGUCAUUGAAGUAUUGAAAACGACUUCCCCAACCGCCGAACCCGUUGCCCCAAUGGCCCGACCGUGAAACUGGGUUCCGUCUUCCAGAACCAAUAGCGCUGACUUAAUCAAAACACCCUCCAGAGAAUAUUCACUCACUUUAUUUGCAUAUUAAUUCAUUCAGUCAGUAUGAAGCAAUGCAAAUUUGCUUACCCGUGGAUUUCUGGCAAACGGCGGCAUUCUGAAGUUAAGCCGGAUAAAAGUCAACUUAAAGAGGGUGUUUUUUAUGUUAUUUUGCACAUUAUAAGGAAGUUAUUCUGUUUAAGAGGCAAAAAGAUCAACUAAGUUACGAUAGAAAACGCUUGCGCUUCCUUGAGUUCGCAAAAAACUGGCUGGCAUGAUAAAAAGUGGACCAAAUGGUCAAACUUGACAUUAAAACAACAAAAAACAACGAUAAAAACUCACUUAAUAGCCAUCAAUGCCAUUAAAUGCAUAAAAAUUCAAAAUCAAGAAAGUUAACGACAAAAAAAUUUUAAAAAUCAAUAUAUUAAAAAUAUAAAAAACAAAUCAAAUGCAUCAUAAAAUCAACAAAAAACAGCAAAUUAAGACAAUGUAAUAAGAAUUACAAUCGCGAUAUAAAGAUCCAGCUUCUUUUUCUUUAAGACAGGCACAUACGAUUGGACCACAACCAGCCUCACUACANNNNNCCUGAUCGAAGCCCCGGUAAACGGCGGCCGUAACUAUAACGGUCCUAAGGUAGCGAAAUUCCUUGUCGGGUAAGUUCCGACCUGCACGAAUGGCGUAAUGAUGGCCAGGCUGUCUCCACCCGAGACUCAGUGAAAUUGAACUCGCUGUGAAGAUGCAGUGUACCCGCGGCAAGACGGAAAGACCCCGUGAACCUUUACUAUAGCUUGACACUGAACAUUGAGCCUUGAUGUGUAGGAUAGGUGGGAGGCUUUGAAGUGUGGACGCCAGUCUGCAUGGAGCCGACCUUGAAAUACCACCCUUUAAUGUUUGAUGUUCUAACGUGGACCCGUAAUCCGGGUUGCGGACAGUGUCUGGUGGGUAGUUUGACUGGGGCGGUCUCCUCCUAAAGAGUAACGGAGGAGCACGAAGGUUGGCUAAUCCUGGUCGGACAUCAGGAGGUUAGUGCAAUGGCAUAAGCCAGCUUGACUGCGAGCGUGACGGCGCGAGCAGGUGCGAAAGCAGGUCAUAGUGAUCCGGUGGUUCUGAAUGGAAGGGCCAUCGCUCAACGGAUAAAAGGUACUCCGGGGAUAACAGGCUGAUACCGCCCAAGAGUUCAUAUCGACGGCGGUGUUUGGCACCUCGAUGUCGGCUCAUCACAUCCUGGGGCUGAAGUAGGUCCCAAGGGUAUGGCUGUUCGCCAUUUAAAGUGGUACGCGAGCUGGGUUUAGAACGUCGUGAGACAGUUCGGUCCCUAUCUGCCGUGGGCGCUGGAGAACUGAGGGGGGCUGCUCCUAGUACGAGAGGACCGGAGUGGACGCAUCACUGGUGUUCGGGUUGUCAUGCCAAUGGCACUGCCCGGUAGCUAAAUGCGGAAGAGAUAAGUGCUGAAAGCAUCUAAGCACGAAACUUGCCCCGAGAUGAGUUCUCCCUGAGACUUAGAGUCUCCUGAAGGAACGUUGAAGACGACGACGUUGAUAGGCCGGGUGUGUAAGCGCAGCGAUGCGUUGAGCUAACCGGUACUAAUGAACCGUGAGGCUUAACCUU
This 4282-nucleotide ribosomal RNA is filed under the name Salmonella enterica subsp. enterica serovar Typhimurium str. DT104. Its description in RNAcentral is "23S ribosomal RNA". The stretch from base 2970 to 4282 matches the Rfam family "Bacterial large subunit ribosomal RNA". Lineage: Bacteria; Pseudomonadati; Pseudomonadota; Gammaproteobacteria; Enterobacterales; Enterobacteriaceae. The record is from RNAcentral.